GCUGUGACAAGCACAGAGAUGAGUCCACCGUCAGAGGCCACCAUUUGUAACCUUCGCUGAAGCUGUUUCUGUACUUUGAUGAGCUCUGAAACCUGACCGAAACUCUUCAGAUAAGUCUGUAAUUUCUCUGUAAAUGAUUAGUUUUACAACUACUCUUUCAAGAAUUUCUGAUAUAAAAUUGAUGAAAUUCUGUUGGUACAGCUAAAUAACAAUCUGUUGUCAAACCUGCCAAGCAAAAAGCACCAAGUUAGACUACAAGCCACAACAUGAUCUAAUAUCACUGCUUUGUUGUUAUUCCAACAAGCUCAUAAUCAGUGUUACUACAGAUACAUCACUGAAACUGUUCAAUCAAGCAAAAGAACAACUGAACCGGAGUGAAAGCCAUAAUUUCAAAACACCGUGAUUAAUCAGCUCUAAUCAUUGUGGUGAGCAGAAUUGUUCUGAUGUUGUAGUGGCUCCACAGUGUUGAAACUACAACUCAUGUACUCAUGUAUUCAAAACAACAAUGGUGUUUUGCUGCCUGAUGGUUAAUGAUGCGGACUCACAUAUUCUUUUGUUGCAUCAUUUGUGUGCUCAUACAUAAUAAGCCAGCUCCUUCCCCUCCUCUUGUACACAGCGAUACAUGGCAAGUCCUCUAUUCUCCGACUCUGAGGAAGCUCCUGAGCUGCAGGUCCAAACUCAACCCAGACACCAGGCUGGAACAGUGUCCCCAGACCAGGAAGAACCUCAGUGCUCUGCUGUGGUCUGCAAACAAGAAGUGGAGAUAGAGCUGGAGACAGAAUCUGAAGGGUCAGCAAGUGAGACACUUGUGGUAAAGAGGCAAGAAAACAUUUCCUGUGAAUACACAUUUAGAAAUGAUAACUAGCAAACUAAACAGCUGCAUUAUCUGACUUUGUGUGUGGUUUUUGUCUUGGGGGGACAGAACAGACAGCUGCCAAGAUGGUAAAAGUGAGCUAAUACUCCAGCCUCGCAUCUGCAAGGAUACAAAGAAGGUGAGUUUGGAGGAUAAAAGAUAGUCAAUCCUAAAUUCAGUUUUUUGCAGUAUUAUUAUCUUUGUCUCCUGUUAAACUUGCAUCUUUUGUGUGCAGUCCACUGUCGCCCCGGACACCAUCCUGAGAGCGUUCAGACAGGAGAACGUAGAUCCAGGACUGAAAACUCCCAUCCAGGUGAGGAGGACAGAUCUACUCCACGACGCUCUGGAGGUGGUGAGGAGGCCCGACUUCUGCUUCAGGGCGACGCCUGUUAUCUCCUUCAGUGGAGAAGAGCCCGACGGCCACAAGGCCCCUGUCAGAGAGUUCUUCAGGUCCUCAUCGUUUCCCUGAAAUUAUAGCUGAAGCUGAUGGCCUCAGGCAUAAAAUAAGUCAUAUGGUUUUUUAUACUCAAGCUACUUUAAUUUAUUCAAACUCUAAUCCAACAUAACUGUAUGUUGUUGUUGUUGUUGUUUUUUUUCAAUUGGAAAACUGGCUCACAAAAAGAUUUCCACAUGGACCACCUUCUGCCUAGCAUGUAGUCUUUAAUAGGAUCAUAUUCUAUACAUUUUGGGGCUGAAGUUAACAAUUUGAAAAUUAUGAUAUUUCAGGAUCCCAGAAGACAGUGUGGUAUUAAAACUAAUUGUGUUGUUUGGUCAACCGUCCAAAACCCCAAAUAUGUGAACAGAUGGUAUUUACCAUAAUACAAAAUGGAAAGGCAGCAGCAGAUUUUUUUUUCUUUGAUCGAUGACAUAAUAAUGAGUAGUAAUAUACCUGUACUAGCUGUACAGCAUUUAAUUUAACUAGUUUAGGGGCAUUUCACUUUUUUUUAGCGCUCUGAAAGACACAGAGGCUAACAGUCUUUUAAACAGAGUACCACAAAUAACAUGUAUCCCUUUAGAAAUAAACUUUUCUUGUGAUACUUCUAAAAACCACAUAUUCUUAACUAGCCACAAUAACACUGUAUUGACCCCCCAAUGUUCCUUUAAUGCAUCAAUCCCUAUAAUUAUCUAUUAGUCACACACUGUAACAGUUAUUUAUUUGUA
Molecule: long non-coding RNA, 2014 nt
Organism: Oreochromis niloticus (Nile tilapia)
Lineage: Eukaryota; Metazoa; Chordata; Actinopteri; Cichliformes; Cichlidae
Source: Ensembl